UUUUUUAGGGGGACUUACUUAGCUUUAGAAAGGGGGUCUUAGGGUCAGGGAUGGGCCUUAGGGCUGGGCCUUAAGGUUAGGGAUAAGAUACUGGGAGGGUCAUCCAAAUUGGGGUUGGGGACCUUAAGGUUAGGGCCUAAUUGGGGUCAUGUAUUUAGACUUGGGGUCCCAUAGUUGGGGUUAGUAGGCCAGAUUAAGGUCAGGAAAGCCUCUAUUGGGGCUCGGGGUCCCCAGCGAUGGACCCCGGUCGAGGAGGCACUGGCGGGUUAGGUGAGGGGAAAAGAUCAGCCCCCUUCUGAGAAGGGGACCGGGAAUGCACUGUCCAUCCUCUGUUGAGGACCACCGCCAGGGACUUUUACAGGUAAGUAUUUACUUUAUAUAUGCAUCACUUUGCUUUUCCAAUUGUUGAUUUUGUUUGUUCUCUCCACAGGUUUUCCCACAGGUUCCGGAUCCAGGUAAGUACAGGUAGGUAUGAACUUGUUUUUAAACUGUAUUUAGCUUUUUAAACUGUUUUUAAACUGUAUUUAGCUUUAACUCUCUUCUACUGGGGACUCCUAUUUGGUCUACCCUUCUUCUAAUGGGGACUCCUAUUUGGGUCUACCCUUUUACUGUGUUUCAAACCUUUUAACCUGUUUAGUUUUUUUAGAUGUGGUUCCACCUGUUUUUAGGCCCAAUUUUAGCUAUUUAUUAUCCCUUAUUUGGGUUUUUAUGCUGGUUUCGCCUUUGUUAUAUAUGUAAUAAAAAAUCAUAAGUAUAAACCAACCCAUCCCUGUGUGCCGCUUUGUCCUUGAAUUAUUUCUAUUGUUCUGGGGACUCCUAUUUGGGUCUACCCUCCUUACUCUUGGGGACUCCUAUUUGGGUCUACCCUCUUCAUUUCUUUGGGGACUCCUAUUUGGUCUACCCUUCUCUGCUGAGUUUAAAGUGUGCAACCGGCGACGUUUCGACCUCGAUUUGGGUCUUCCUCAGGCCUAGCACACUGUCUGACUUGCGGCUCCCCAUACUGCGACCUCCCUAUGGAGGUGGCUUGCCCCAUGUGGCGCUCUCCCUAAGGAGAGGGCUUCCCAUCUACCCCGGUCGAAAGAAAAACAUAAAAUGAGCCAUGCCAGAGUUGGCUUCUAUUAGUAUUACUUUAGAUAUAGUUUUACUUAGUUUAGGUUUAGGGCUCCUGUUACUGUUUGUUUUAAAUUCAAGCUUCUGAUUUAGUUUUAGCCUUUUAGGGGGGGAUUUGUCUUGGGUUUAUUCAACUUCUGAUUUAGUUUUAGUUUUUUAGGGGGACUUACUUAGCUUUAGAAAGGGGGUCUUAGGGUCAGGGAUGGGCCUUAGGGCUGGGCCUUAAGGUUAGGGAUAAGAUACUGGGAGGGUCAUCCAAAUUGGGGUUGGGGACCUUAAGGUUAGGGCCUAAUUGGGGUCAUGUAUUUAGACUUGGGGUCCCAUAGUUGGGGUUAGUAGGCCAGAUUAAGGUCAGGAAAGCCUCUAUUGGGGCUCGGGGUCCCCAGCGAUGGACCCCGGUCGAGGAGGCACUGGCGGGUUAGGUGAGGGGAAAAGAUCAGCCCCCUUCUGAGAAGGGGACCGGGAAUGCACUGUCCAUCCUCUGUUGAGGACCACCGCCAGGGACUUUUACAGGUAAGUAUUUACUUUAUAUAUGCAUCACUUUGCUUUUCCAAUUGUUGAUUUUGUUUUUUCUCUCCACAGGUUUUCCCACAGGUUCCGGAUCCAGGUAAGUACAGGUAGGUAUGAACUUGUUUUUAAACUGUAUUUAGCUUUUUAAACUGUUUUUAAACUGUAUUUAGCUUUUUAACUGUGAACUGUUUUUAAACUAUAUUUAGCUUUAACUCUCUUCUACUGGGGACUCCUAUUUGGUCUACCCUUCUUCUAAUGGGGACUCCUAUUUGGGUCUACCCUUUUACUGUGUUUCAAACCUUUUAACCUGUUUAGUUUUUUUAGAUGUGGUUCCACCUGUUUUUAGGCCCAAUUUUAGCUAUUUAUUAUCCCUUAUUUGGGUUUUUAUGCUGGUUUCGCCUUUGUUAUAUAUGUAAUAAAAAAUCAUAAGUAUAAACCAA
Acanthochromis polyacanthus (spiny chromis) is the source of this 2060-nucleotide long non-coding RNA. RefSeq lists it as uncharacterized. The transcript is spliced from 2 exons. Lineage: Eukaryota; Metazoa; Chordata; Actinopteri; Pomacentridae. The record is from RefSeq and is a predicted model, not a curated record.